GAUGAAGAACGCAGCGAAAUGCGAUAAGUAGUGUGAAUUGCAGAAUUCAGUGAAUCAUCGAAUCUUUGAACGCACAUUGCGCCAUUUGGUAUUCCUUAGGGCAUGCCUGUUCGAGCGUCAUUUAAACCUUCAAGCUAAGCUUGGUGUUGGGUGACUGUCCGCUUCACGGCGGACUCGCCUCAAAAUUAUUGGCGGCCGGUACAUUGGCUUCGAGCGCAGCAGAAACGCGAACUCGGGCCCGUCGUAUUGGCUCCCAGAAGCUAUCUUCACAAUUUUGACCUCGGAUCAGGUAGGGAUACCCGCUGAACUUAAGCAUAUCAAUAAGCGGAGGA
RNAcentral lists this unclassified non-coding RNA (332 nucleotides) under soil metagenome. RNAcentral describes it as "partial contains 5.8S ribosomal RNA, internal transcribed spacer 2, and large subunit ribosomal RNA". The stretch from base 1 to 120 matches the Rfam family "5.8S ribosomal RNA", at positions 35 to 154 of the family's 154-position model. The record is from RNAcentral.